AACGUACUCAGUUCGGAUUGUAGUCUGCAACUCGACUACAUGAAGCUGGAAUCGCUAGUAAUCGCGAAUCAGCAUGUCGCGGUGAAUACGUUCCCGGGUCUUGUACACACCGCCCGUCACACCAUGGGAGUCAGCAACGCCCGAAGUCAGUGACCUAACCGAGAGGAAGGAGCUGCCGAAGGCGGGGCAGGUAACUGGGGGUGAAGUCGUAACAAGGUACC
RNAcentral lists this ribosomal RNA (221 nucleotides) under uncultured bacterium. Its description in RNAcentral is "partial 16S ribosomal RNA". It matches the Rfam family "Bacterial small subunit ribosomal RNA", at positions 1281 to 1500 of the family's 1533-position model. The record is from RNAcentral.